AUUGAACGCUGGCGGCAUGCCUUACACAUGCAAGUCGAACGGUAACGCGGGGCAACCUGGCGACGAGUGGCGAACGGGUGAGUAAUGCAUCGGAACGUGCCCAGCAGUGGGGGAUAGCCCGGCGAAGGCCGGAUUAAUACCGCAUGAGACCUGAGGGUGAAAGCGGGGGAUCGCAAGACCUCGCGCUUUUUGAGCGGCCGAGGUCAGAUGAGCUAGUUGGUGGGGUAAAGGCCUACCAAGGCGACGAUCUGUCACUGGUCGGAGAGGCAGACCAGCCACCCUGGGACUGAUACACAGCCCAGACUCCUACGGGAGGCAGCAGUGGGGAAUUUUGGACAAUGGGCGCAAGCCUGAUCCAGCCAUGCCGCGUGCGGGAAGAAGGCCUUCGGGUUGUAAACCGCUUUUGUCAGGGAAGAAACGCUCUGGGCUAAUACCCUGGGGUAAUGACGGUACCUGAAGAAUAAGCACCGGCUAACUACGUGCCAGCCGCCGCCGUAA
This 498-nucleotide ribosomal RNA is filed under the name uncultured bacterium. RNAcentral's name for it is "partial 16S ribosomal RNA". It matches the Rfam family "Bacterial small subunit ribosomal RNA", at positions 29 to 523 of the family's 1533-position model. The record is from RNAcentral.